Hyla sarda is the source of this 458-nucleotide long non-coding RNA. RefSeq lists it as uncharacterized. The record is from RefSeq and is a predicted model, not a curated record. NCBI's taxonomy places the organism in Eukaryota, Metazoa, Chordata, Amphibia, Anura, Hylidae. The transcript is spliced from 3 exons.
CGAUGCUUGUCACUGUUAGUACAAUCCAAGGAAGAAGCGAAGUGAUCACCUCCCCAUUCACAUUGAGAAAAGCUGAAUACAUGCUAGUGACGCCAGGGACUAUAACGGCAUGUAUGAUCAAAUCUUACAGAAACUUUAAAAUGCCUUUCAUGGUGAUGAAACAGAUGAAUCCAGUUUAACAGAUAGCUGGGACCAAUACAAUGUGGCCAGGUCACAUCUCAGAAGCCACAGGGUAUCUUGUAAAUAAUACAGUGUUGCCGUUUGGGUUGACACUUAACAGGAGAGUAAUAGAACUGAUCUCCUCUGGAAUGUCUCCAGCUCUGAAGGGGGAUGACCAGCAAUGUGACCUGCUCCUAAAAGGACCAGACGGCUUUCUCUACAGAGGUCAGAGGAUCACUGACGAAAAAGACAAUUGCAGUAAAAUGAUGACUGUUGUAUGAUGUAUGAUACUCACGAAA